GAUGAACGCUGGCGGCGUGCCUAAUACAUGCAAGUCGAGCGAACAGACGAGGAGCUUGCUCCUCUGACGUUAGCGGCGGACGGGUGAGUAACACGUGGAUAACCUACCUAUAAGACUGGGAUAACUUCGGGAAACCGGAGCUAAUACCGGAUAAUAUAUUGAACCGCAUGGUUCAAUAGUGAAAGACGGUUUUGCUGUCACUUAUAGCUGGAUCCGCGCCGCAUUAGCUAGUUGGUAAGGUAACGGCUUACCAAGGCAACGAUGCGUAGCCGACCUGAGAGGGUGAUCGGCCACACUGGAACUGAGACACGGUCCAGACUCCUACGGGAGGCAGCAGUAGGGAAUCUUCCGCAAUGGGCGAAAGCCUGACGGAGCAACGCCGCGUGAGUGAUGAAGGUCUUCGGAUCGUAAAACUCUGUUAUUAGGGAAGAACAAAUGUGUAAGGAACUAUGCACGUCUUGACGGUACCUAAUCAGAAAGCCACGGCUAACUACGUG
RNAcentral lists this ribosomal RNA (497 nucleotides) under uncultured bacterium. RNAcentral describes it as "partial 16S ribosomal RNA". It matches the Rfam family "Bacterial small subunit ribosomal RNA", at positions 28 to 507 of the family's 1533-position model. The record is from RNAcentral.